This 428-nucleotide ribosomal RNA is filed under the name uncultured soil bacterium. RNAcentral describes it as "bacterial SSU rRNA". It matches the Rfam family "Bacterial small subunit ribosomal RNA", at positions 26 to 434 of the family's 1533-position model. The record is from RNAcentral.
AGGAUGAACGCUAGCGGCAGGCUUAAUACAUGCAAGUCGAGGGGCAGCAGGUUUGUAGCAAUACAGGUGCUGGCGACCGGCAAACGGGUGCGGAACACGUACGCAACUUUCCUUCAAGCGGGGAAUAGCCCAGGGAAACUUGGAUUAAUACUCCAUAAUUUUAUGAAGUGGCAUCACUUUAUAAGUAAAGCUCCGGCACUUGAAGAUGGGCGUGCGGCUGAUUAGGUAGUUGGCGGGGUAACGGCCCACCAAGCCUGCGAUCAGUAACUGGUGUGAGAGCACGACCAGUCACACGGGCACUGAGACACGGGCCCGACUCCGUACGGGAGGCAGCAAGGUAAGGAAUAGUUGGGCAAGUGGACGCAAGUCUGACCCAGCCAUCGCCGCGUGGAGGAUGGAAGGUCCUCGUGGUAUUACGUUAAACUUUC